Molecule: long non-coding RNA, 1224 nt
Filed under: Salmo salar (Atlantic salmon)
Lineage: Eukaryota; Metazoa; Chordata; Actinopteri; Salmoniformes; Salmonidae
Description: lncRNA (ENSSSAG00000084608.1)
Source: RNAcentral
GAAAUAGUGACACUGUGGAGGAGAGGAGGAGAGAAAUAGUGACACUGUGGAGGAGAGGAGGAGAGAAAUAGUGACAGACUGGAGGAGAGGAGGAGAGAAAUAGUGACACUGUGGAGGAGAGGAGGAGAAAACAAGAGAGAAUGAAUGAGGAGAGAGAUGGGCAAAAACAGAGUGAGGACUUUCAGGAGGGGAAAGGAAGAACGAGAGGGGGAAGUAGAAUAAGAGAGGUAUUGAAGGAAGGAUGAACGCUCUUCAGAAGAUCCAGGGACGGACAGACCAGAUGUUGGGUGCUGUUGCUGAAAUGCUGACUUACUUGGCAUUGCCCAAUCAACUGUGGUUUGCAGAGAACAGUGAUGUAGCAGCAGAGCCCACAGUGAGCCAAGGGAAGAAGAGGGGUUAGCAGGUUCAGGUUCAGGUCCAGCACAGUGGAAACCGGCUGGGCUAGAGGACUGGGAGCAGGGGUCCUCCUCCCAAGACAACCUGGAGAGGAAAGAAGGACGAGACAGAACAGGUGAACCGAACCAGUCUGAGGUCUUGAGCGCUCUGGAGCAGAUUUUCAUCAAGGAUCUCUCUGUGCUUUGCUCCGUUCAUCUUUCCCUUGAUCCUGACUAGUCUCCCAGUCACUGCCUAUGAAAACAUCUCCCACAGCAUGACGCUGCCUCCACCAUGCUCCACCGUAGGGAUGGUGCCAGGUUUCUUCCAGACAUGAUGGUUGGCAUUCAGGCCAAAGAGUUCAAUCUUGGUUUCAUCAGACCAGAGAAUCUUGUUUCUCAUGGUCUGAGAGUCCUUUAGGUGCCAUUUGGCAAACUCCAAGCGGGCUGUCAUGUGCCUUUACUGAGGAGUGGCUUCCGUCUGAUUGGUGGAGUGCUGCAGUGAUGGUUGUCCUUCUGGAAGGUUCUCCCAUCUCCACAGAGGAACUCUGGAGCUCUGUCAGAGUGACAAUCAGGUUCAUGGUCACCUCCCUGACCAAGGCCCUUCUCCCCCGAUUACUCAGUUUGGCCGGGUGGCCAGAUCUAGGAAGAGUCUUGGUGGUUCCAAUCUUCUUCCAUUUAAGAAUGAUGGAGGACACUGUGUUCUUGGGGACCUUCAAUGUUGCAGAAAUGUUUUGGUACCCUUCCCCAGAUCUGUGUAUGGACUAGUGUGUAUGUAGUGUAUUUUCCAGUAUGGGGUAUAUGUAGUCUGUAUUCCAGUAUGGGGUAUAUGUAGUGUUUUUUUCCAGUAUGG